CACAAUUAAAAAAGUAGGCAAAUAACUUGAAGACAUAUUAUUUUAAAGAAUAUUCACUAGUGGUGUGUGCAUCACCCAGCUUCAACAGUUAUCAAGAUUUUACUAUCCAUAUUAUAUCCAGUUCCCUGCUUAUUUCUAUAUUUUUGUUAGGCUAUUCAUAAAGCAAAUCCAGCCACCAUUCCAUUUCAACUGUAAAAUUUUCAGUCCGUGUGUACCAAUGUGAUAAAUUGUGUCUAUGCUGCUGUGUAUAUGUCCAGAAGUUUAAGCGAUUGCUUUGAACCACUGGCUAGUAUUUUAGAGUGAGUAAACACCUUUAUUUAUUUGUCCCCAGAGAUGAAUACCUAGUCUCCAACUAUCCACUUCCACAGAAUUACUAUGAAGACCAGCCAUGUUCAUUUGCUCUUGGAUUUUAUCUGAGGAUUUUUCUGGGAUACAUACUCAAAAAGAUGAUGACUAGCUCAGGUGAUGUUCAUGGAGACUAAAUGUUAACAGAAGAUGCUAAACCUCUGGCUUUCAUGGUCUACUAGGAAACACAGAUGAAUGAAUAAGAGAAAUGACUCUGGCAACAAAGAUUCUGGUGCUGAGAAACAAGAGUAUGGUAAAACUGGCAAAUGGUUCUCUAAGAAAUAGCCUCAUGGAAUUGAUUAAAUCCUGAGCCCUUAACUAGGGUUAAGAUCAAAUCAAGG
This 686-nucleotide long non-coding RNA is filed under the name Bos indicus x Bos taurus (hybrid cattle). RNAcentral describes it as "lncRNA (ENSBIXG00005002656.1)". The record is from RNAcentral. Lineage: Eukaryota; Metazoa; Chordata; Mammalia; Artiodactyla; Bovidae.